RNAcentral lists this ribosomal RNA (535 nucleotides) under uncultured bacterium. RNAcentral's name for it is "bacterial LSU rRNA". It matches the Rfam family "Bacterial large subunit ribosomal RNA", at positions 195 to 786 of the family's 2925-position model. The record is from RNAcentral.
GAAACAUCUAAGUACCCGGAGGAAAGGAAAUCAACAGAUACUCCCCUAGUAGUGGCGAGCGAACGGGGAUCAGCCGAGCCGUGAGAAUGACCAGAAUGGCCUGGAAAGGCCAGCCAUAGUGGGUGACAGCCCCGUAUGGGAAGUUUGAUCGGACGUAUUAAGUAGGGGCGGGACACGUGAAAUCCUGUCUGAAGAUCGGGGGACCACCCUCGAAGGCUAAGUACUCCUUACUGACCGAUAGCGAACCAGUACCGUGAGGGAAAGGUGAAAAGCACCCCGACGAGGGGAGUGAAACAGUUUCUGAAACCGGACGCCUACAAGCAGUCGGAGCCUCCUUGAGAGGUGACGGCGUACCUUUUUGUAUAAUGGGGUCAACGACUUGGUCUAUCUAGCAAGCUUAAGCCGUAGGUGUAGGCGCAGCGAAAGCGAGUCUUAAAUGGGCGACUUAGUUAGAUGGAUCAGACCCGAAACCAGAUGAUCUAGGCAUGAGCAGGAUGAAGGUUGGGUAACACAACUGGAGGUCCGAACCACACCU